CCUACGGGAGGCAGCAGUGAGGAAUAUUGGGCAAUGGACGAGAGUCGGAACCAGCCAAGGAGCGUGAAGGAUGACUGCCCUAUGGGUUGUAAACUUCUGUUAUAGGGGAAUAAAAUGGUCCACGUGUGGGAUUUUGUAUGUACCAUAUGAAUAAGGAUCGGCUAACUCCGUGCCAGCAGCCGCGGUAAUACGGAGGAUCCGAGCGUUAUCCGGAUUUAUUGGGGUUAAAGGGAGCGUAGGUGGAUUGGUAAGUCAGUUGUGAAAGUUUGCGGCUCAACCGUAAAAUUGCAGUUGAAACUGGCAGUCUUUCGUACAGUAGAGUUGGGCGGAUUUCGUGGUGUAGCGG
Molecule: ribosomal RNA, 346 nt
Filed under: uncultured bacterium
Lineage: Bacteria
Description: partial 16S ribosomal RNA
Rfam family: Bacterial small subunit ribosomal RNA
Source: RNAcentral